Long non-coding RNA from Salvelinus sp. IW2-2015, 1707 nucleotides. RefSeq lists it as uncharacterized. The record is from RefSeq and is a predicted model, not a curated record. NCBI's taxonomy places the organism in Eukaryota, Metazoa, Chordata, Actinopteri, Salmoniformes, Salmonidae.
UUUCAGGAGAAUUCUCCUUAAAUGCCCUUUGUGAAAGUCCCCAGCUUCAACAAAUGCGGCCUCGUGAUAUGCUGUUUCCAGUUUGUUCAAGGUCCUGUGUAAUUCUUUAGAGUACCAGUGUGGUGUCGGCUUGUGGGGGAUGUAGACAGCCGUGAUUCAAACAUCUGUGAAUUCUCUCCGGAGAUAAUGGGGUAGGCAUUUGAUCGUGAGGAAUUCCAGGGUCAGAAACUCUUAUGGGUUUGUACAUUCCUACAACCACACCAUAAGUUGUUGAUCAUGAAACAUACUCCUUCGCCUUUGUAUUUUACGCAAAGUAAAUUGWCCCUGAUGUGCGGAAAAUCCUGCAGGCUGAAUAGCCUGAUCAGGCACCUCCCCUGACAUCCAUGUCUCUGUAAGGCAGAUUACGUUACAGCCUCUCCUAUCUCUCUGGUAGGAAAUCCGCGCUCUGAGCACAGAAAGUUUAUUGUCCAGAGACUGUACAUUAGCAAGUAAUAUACUAUGAAGAGGAGAGUGGUUACCCGUUUCCUUCACUGGACUGGUACCCCAGCUCGUCUUUCCCUUCUCCAGUGGCAUCUUUUUGGAAAAAGGGCUCACGUGAUGAAUGGAACUGCUUCGGGUAACCCAGACAAAGGAUCCAGCUCCGGAAAGUCAAAUUUGUGGGCUGAACCCUUCUGGAUGGUCGGCCACUUUGUCGGUUAUUGAUUACAGCGCUGACGGGACCGUUGCCGAGCGGGUGCGGGGAGCCGACGUGAUUGGAGGGGAAAAAGAACAGACGAGAAAAAGCUGCAUUGUCAUGGGAGAGGGUUGUUAGGAACAGCAAACAAGGCCUGGCUACACUACGAUACCAGCCCUGCUUACAUUGUCAACGUGGGGUAUGAAGAGAUGUUCAGUAGAGCAGUUUGGGACAUGGAGCUGUCCCAGUGUGGUCCAAGUCCCAGUAAUGUCUUUGCUGAUUCAAGGGAGUGACUUCAACCAGAGACGAGUACUGAGGAGAACAAGGUUCGCUUCAGAGCCAGAGUGAGAUGCUAACCGCGGGGGUAUGGCGCGAUUUUAGGCCCUGUUACCUCCUCACCUAGCCUAACCUAGCGUCCCUGUUGCCUACACAUCUUACCACUCCUGAUUGACAAUGGUCACAGAGUGGGACUUGACAGAGAGAAGCCAUUAAGAAAGGGUUCAGAAAGGGUCUCAUUCAACCAGCACCGUUGGACUUCUGAACUCAACAAAGACCGUGUGUGUCUAUGAUGUUUCAACGCUUUUAUGUCGUCAAACUAGGUAGGCCUAUGUCACAAAGAAACACACAAAGACGCACGCACGCACGCACACACACACUUGUCUUCUAUAUAUUAAGGAUUGAUUGUUUUCUAUAUUAUGGGUAUGUGAGACAAGGGAGCCGUACCUGUCCAUAGUUGUUUAUUAGGAAAGGGAAUUGUACUAAUUGUCUCAUGAAUCAAACAACAAUUGUGUCUGUCAUAGUCUGUUGCCACUACUAUUACCGCUUAACCUUGUUGCAUUCCCCCUUCCUUCUUCCCUCUUCAAAAGGACCACAAUGGAAAUAAGCUUUCAAGCUGUAUUGUGUUAUCCUUGAUGAUUUUCUUAAAUUGUAUGUGGAGGCGUCACCGGCUGGAACGCCCUUAUGUAUGUAUUUAAAACAUUUUUUAAUAAAGUCAAUCAAUCACUUACUCACACACACACUUCACACACACUUAC